CUAGAGUUUGAUCCUGGCUCAGGAUGAACGCUGGCGGCGUGCUUAACACAUGCAAGUCGAACGAUGAAGCCCAGCUUGCUGGGUGGAUUAGUGGCGAACGGGUGAGUAACACGUGAGUAACCUGCCCUUAACUCUGGGAUAAGCCUGGGAAACUGGGUCUAAUACCGGAUAGGAGCGUCCACCGCAUGGUGGGUGUUGGAAAGAUUUAUCGGUUUUGGAUGGACUCGCGGCCUAUCAGCUUGUUGGUGAGGUAAUGGCUCACCAAGGCGACGACGGGUAGCCGGCCUGAGAGGGUGACCGGCCACACUGGGACUGAGACACGGCCCAGACUCCUACGGGAGGCAGCAGUGGGGAAUAUUGCACAAUGGGCGAAAGCCUGAUGCAGCGACGCCGCGUGAGGGAUGACGGCCUUCGGGUUGUAAACCUCUUUCAGUAGGGAAGAAGCGAAAGUGACGGUACCUGCAGAAGAAGCACCGGCUAACUACGUGCCAGCAGCCGCGGUAAUACGUAGGGUGCGAGCGUUAUCCGGAAUUAUUGGGCGUAAAGAGCUCGUAGGCGGUUUGUCGCGUCUGUCGUGAAAGUCCGGGGCUUAACCCCGGAUCUGCGGUGGGUACGGGCAGACUAGAGUGCAGUAGGGGAGACUGGAAUUCCUGGUGUAGCGGUGGAAUGCGCAGAUAUCAGGAGGAACACCGAUGGCGAAGGCA
RNAcentral lists this ribosomal RNA (704 nucleotides) under Micrococcus luteus. Its description in RNAcentral is "bacterial SSU rRNA". It matches the Rfam family "Bacterial small subunit ribosomal RNA", at positions 1 to 723 of the family's 1533-position model. Lineage: Bacteria; Bacillati; Actinomycetota; Actinomycetes; Micrococcales; Micrococcaceae. The record is from RNAcentral.